AUACGGAGGGGGUUAGCGUUGUUCGGAAUUACUAGGCGUAAAGCGCACGUAGGCGGACUGGAAAGUUGGGGGUGAAAUCCCGGGGCUCAACCCCGGAACUGCCUCCAAAACUUCCAAUCUAGAGAUCGAGAGAGGUGAGUGGAAUUCCAAGUGUAGAGGUGAAAUUCGUAGAUAUUUGGAGGAACACCAGUGGCGAAGGCGGCUCACUGGCUCGAUACUGACGCUGAGGUGCGAAAGCGUGGGGAGCAAACAGGAUUAGAUACCCCAGUAGUCC
This 274-nucleotide ribosomal RNA is filed under the name uncultured bacterium. RNAcentral's name for it is "partial 16S ribosomal RNA". It matches the Rfam family "Bacterial small subunit ribosomal RNA", at positions 523 to 796 of the family's 1533-position model. The record is from RNAcentral.